GCCUUCAGGAUCGCGCGCGAAUUGCCGCCGGAGCGAUCAAUCAGACCGCCCGCAAGACCUUCGCUGUCGUCGAGAAGCACUUUCAGGAUAUGCAGGGGCGUGAAUUGCUGAUGGCCCUCACGCACGGCCAACGUCUGUGCCGACUGGAUGAAUCCCUUCACACGGUCGGUAUAUUUUUCAAUGUUCAUUUCGGGUUUCCCUCAGCCUGCCAUUGUCCGCCCCGAAGGCACGGAUAUUAGCAUCUUCAAUGGGGUUCCGCCGCCGGCAUUGACGUUCCUCAACCCGUGGC
This 289-nucleotide unclassified non-coding RNA is filed under the name Hevea brasiliensis (rubber tree). Lineage: Eukaryota; Viridiplantae; Streptophyta; Magnoliopsida; Malpighiales; Euphorbiaceae. The record is from RNAcentral.